RNAcentral lists this ribosomal RNA (253 nucleotides) under uncultured bacterium. RNAcentral describes it as "partial 16S ribosomal RNA". It matches the Rfam family "Bacterial small subunit ribosomal RNA", at positions 524 to 776 of the family's 1533-position model. The record is from RNAcentral.
UACGAAGGGGGCUAGCGUUGCUCGGAAUCACUGGGCGUAAAGCGCACGUAGGCGGACUCUUAAGUCGGUGGUGAAAUCCUGGAGCUCAACUCCAGAACUGCCUUCGAUACUGGGAGUCUUGAGUCCGGGAGAGGUGAGUGGAACUGCGAGUGUAGAGGUGAAAUUCGUAGAUAUUCGCAAGAACACCAGUGGCGAAGGCGGCUCACUGGCCCGGUACUGACGCUGAGGUGCGAAAGCGUGGGGAGCAAACAGG